GUGAAUGUGAGCAAAUUCCAGGAUAUAAUGAAGGAGUGAGGAGCCUGGCAUACUGCAGUCCAUGAGGUCACAAGGAGUCGGACAUGACUCAGCAACUGAACAACAGCAAUGCAAAUGCAAAGCAACCAAUCCAAAGCCCAUACCCACAGUCACAUUCUCGAUCUGCCUCUCUCACCAGGCCGACAUUCUUCCUGCCCUAAAUCCCCCUAGGGUCAUGUACCAGACACCUAGGGACCAUUCCCAGAGCAGCUGAAAUGUUUCAGACCGACCAAUCUUAAACCUGUUUAGUUGUUUACCCCAUGAAAACCACAAAAAAGACCUGGCCUGUGGUUUCCUCUUCCUCCUGACCUACCUGGAUUUCUUCCUUAUCUGUCCUGGCAUGGCCCGGCAUGCCCAUUCCUCUUGGGAACUGUAAAUAAUAAACUUCUUUCAAAGGCAAUGUGCUUACAUCUAUCACCCUGUCAUACCUGAUUAAUACACAAUCCCAGGCACAUUUAAAAACAUCUCUGCCAGUACCAUACUGUUUUAACUUCUAAAAGGCUUCAAGUGUGCCCUGAAGGCUGCCUGUCAAUCACACUGUACGGCAAUGGACCCUUCACUUCCACAUGCUUUGAAGUGACUAUUUCCUGCAUUUUGUUUCAACCUCCUCCCCACGUCAGUCUCAGUGACCUGUCUCACAGUGAUUCACUGGAUGAUUUCCAUCAGAAACAGGCAUAUUGUGAUUUCUCCCAUCUUAUAAAGAAAGACCUUUGAAUUGGAUGGGAUUGUUCAUUCUGUCAUGUUCUUGUGGUCACGUAACUCUACAGACCAAACAUAAGCUUCAUGAAGACACAUUUUUGGAUACUCUGUGUCUUUUGUUCCUUACUCAUUCCCCAAUAUCUAAUAAAACAGUGCCUGGAGCAAGGUAUUGUCUUCCAUCAACUUUUCCUGGCUAAUUCUUACUUGUGCAUCAGAUUCAGCUCAGACACUAUUCCUCAGGGAAGUCUUCCUGACCCUGCAAAUCAGGUUAGGACUUCUUGUUGUAAACUCUUCCAGAACUGAUACUUCUUAAUACAUCAUGAAUGAUUAUUUGUGCCACCAUCUGUUACUUUCUCUUCCUUACCAGACUGAGCUCCUCAGUGCAGGGACCAUGUUUAUCUUGUUCAGGGCUUCAAUAUGUAUUUAUUGAAUGAAUGACUGAAAACUCGUUAUUAGGGAGAAUGUCAAACAGUACAGCUCUUUGGGAGGGGAACUUGAAAAUACUUUUUAAAAAUACCUGAUUGCUUAUGCAUUCACCCUUUAAUCCAGCAAUCCCACUUCCAGUAUUUUAACCUAAAGACACACUGGAAAAAAAAUGCUAAAAUGAUUUAUUGCACAAGGUUAUUCAUUGUGGCAUUAUUUGAGAUACAAAAGGUUGGAAGCAAUCCAAAUGCCCAUCAUUAGGAGACAGGCUGAAUCAGCUGUGGUCCAUUCACACAGUGGAAUAUUCUCUGGCUGUAAAAAGAAAUGUGGAAGGUCACUGCAAUGGCAUGAUCUCCAGAUGUAUUGCUAAGUGAAAAAGCACAACUUCGUAGAACUGAAUAUCUAGGAUGCUAUUUUCUGUGUAACAAUGGGGCAGAAAGAGUUAUAAAUAUGUAUACAAAUUGUUUAUAUUUGCAAAAAAAAUAGUAAAAGAAUAAACAAACAUAUAAAAACCCCUGAAAAUGAUGACUUUUGUGGGAAAGAAUAGAGCAGAGGGACAGUGAUGGAAGGGAUAUUUUCUUACACAUAGACUGUUGUGUGGUUUUGACUUCAGAAUCAGAUAAAUAUUUUACACAUUCAAAAAUAACAUUAAAUCAAAAGGAAAGGAGAAAAAAAGCAUCUCUAGAAUUUGAAAGCAACAUGAAACAAAGGACCCUGAAUGUAUAUCAAGUUAGUGAUAUAACCAAGUCAGUAAAAAUGAUUGUUCCAAUGUUCCGAUGGGCUUUACGACACAACAUAGCUACUAUAUCUUUAAAAAAAAUUAAUCUUUUUUAGUUGUUAUUUUAAUUAUUUACUUAGCUGUUCUGGGUCUCUGUUGCAGCAUUCUGGAUCUGGUUCCCUGACCAGGGAACUGAACCCAGGCCCUCUUCUCUGGGGCUCAGAGUCUUAGCCACUAGACCACCAGGGAAGUCCAUAAAGAAACAUUUUUGAAGGUCAAAAAGAACUGCAAAGAAAUCUUAACAUUUCAUUUGGAAGUCUUUCUGUUAGUAAAAAUACUGGCAUUAUUUUUGAACCUAGUUUAUAUAAAUCACAGGAUAAUGCAAAUGGCACCCCACUGCAGUA
Molecule: long non-coding RNA, 2283 nt
Organism: Bubalus bubalis (water buffalo)
Lineage: Eukaryota; Metazoa; Chordata; Mammalia; Artiodactyla; Bovidae
Exons: 4
Source: RefSeq, a predicted model, not a curated record